This 1303-nucleotide ribosomal RNA is filed under the name uncultured Planctomycetota bacterium. RNAcentral's name for it is "bacterial SSU rRNA". It matches the Rfam family "Bacterial small subunit ribosomal RNA", at positions 49 to 1374 of the family's 1533-position model. Lineage: Bacteria; Pseudomonadati; Planctomycetota. The record is from RNAcentral.
UUAGGCAUGCAAGUCGCGGGAAUGCCCAGCAAUGGGUGGAACCGGCGUAAGGGGCAGUAAGGCAUGGGUACCUACCCUGGGGUUGGGCAUAGCCCGUAGAGAUACGGGGUAAUUCCCAGCGAUGUCGCAAGACCAAAGCUCAGGCGCCCCGGGAGGGGCCCAUGUGAUAUUAGCUAGUUGGUGGGGUAACGGCUCACCAAGGCGAAGAUGUCUAGCGGGUGUGAGAGCACGACCCGCGCCACUGGCACUGAGACACUGGCCAGACACCUACGGGUGGCUGCAGUCGAGGAUCUUCGGCAAUGGGCGCAAGCCUGACCGAGCGACGCCGCGUGUGCGAUGAAGGCCUUCGGGUUGUAAAGCACUGUCGAGGGGGAGAAAAGCCGAAAGGUUUGAUCUAUCCCUGGAGGAAGCACGGGCUAAGUUCGUGCCAGCAGCCGCGGUAAGACGAACCGUGCGAACGUUGUUCGGAAUCACUGGGCUUAAAGGGCGCGUAGGCGGGCUGCCAAGUCUGGGGUGAAAUCCUCCCGCUCAACGGGAGAACUGCCUCGGAUACUGGCGGUCUCGAGGGAGGUAGGGGCGUGCGGAACUAUGGGUGGAGCGGUGAAAUGCGUUGAUAUCCAUAGGAACUCCGGUGGCGAAGGCGGCACGCUGGACCUUUUCUGACGCUGAGGCGCGAAAGCCAGGGGAGCAAACGGGAUUAGAUACCCCGGUAGUCCUGGCCCUAAACGUUGGGUACUAGGUAGUAGGCUUACAUGGGCUUACUGCCGAAGCUAAAGUGCUUAGUACCCCGCCUGGGGAGUAUGGUCGCAAGGCUGAAACUCAAAGGAAUUGACGGGGGCUCACACAAGCGGUGGAGCAUGUGGCUUAAUUCGAGGCUACGCGAAGAACCUUACCUAGGCUUGACAUGUGCGAAAGCGCAGGGAAGUAGCCCGCGGAAACGUGGGGCGAACGGUAUCCAGUCCGGAACCUUGCACAGGCGCUGCAUGGCUGUCGUCAGCUCGUGUCGUGAGAUGUCGGGUUAAGUCCCAUAACGAGCGAAACCCUUACCCUCAGUUGCCAUUGGGACUCUGGGGGGACUGCCGGUGUCAAACCGGAGGAAGGUGGGGAUGACGUCAAGUCCUCAUGGCCUUUAUGUCUAGGGCUGCACACGUGCUACAAUAGCGUGAACAAAGGGACGCGAACGCGAGAGCGGGAGCAAAUCCCAAAAAACACGCUCCAGUUCAGAUCGCAGGCUGCAACUCGCCUGCGCGAAGUUGGAAUCGCUAGUAAUCGCGGGUCAGCAACACCGCGGUGAAUGUGUUCC